CGCUUAACACAUGCAAGUCGAGGGGUAUAGGUUUUCGGACCUAGAGACCGGCGCACGGGUGCGUAACGCGUAUGCAAUCUACCUUUUACAGGGGGAUAGCCCAGAGAAAUUUGGAUUAAUACCCCAUAGUGUAAUUGAAUGGCAUCAUUUAAUUACUAAAGUUCCAACGGUAAAAGAUGAGCAUGCGUCCUAUUAGCUAGUUGGUGUGGUAACGGCAUACCAAGGCUACGAUAAGUAGGGGUCCUGAGAGGGAGAUCCCCCACACUGGUACUGAGACACGGACCAGACUCCUACGGGAGGCAGCAGUGAGGAAUAUUGGACAAUGGGCGCAAGCCUGAUCCAGCCAUGCCGCGUGCAGGAAGACGGUCCUAUGGAUUGUAAACUGC
Molecule: ribosomal RNA, 386 nt
Filed under: uncultured organism
Description: bacterial SSU rRNA
Rfam family: Bacterial small subunit ribosomal RNA
Source: RNAcentral